Molecule: long non-coding RNA, 3489 nt
Organism: Homo sapiens (human)
Lineage: Eukaryota; Metazoa; Chordata; Mammalia; Primates; Hominidae
Source: Ensembl
CUCUGUUUCUGUGACCUCAUCCUCCCAAAGGUUUUGCUCUAUUCUGAUGGGUGCCAUCUCCAUACUUCCAGCCUGGAUGUCCCAAACUUCAGGACACCAUGUGGAGUAAUCUGGACUUUUUCCUAUCAGCAUCCUCUAGGUUAUUUGGAUGAAAUGCUUAUUUCUUUUUUAACAUAAGCAUUGACUGGAAAUAUUGGUUAUUCUGUCUGAUAUUACAUGAAGGUCAGAUGCCCUCCAUGCAACCAUGAGGUCGGAUGGCAGUUUGAUGCUGAACCAGCAAACAAGCCUACUCAGCAUGAAACUAUGAGUAUAAAAACCUUUAUGAUGACCUACCUCCACUUGGAUCAAUGAAGAGAAGAAGAGUUGUGGACAUAGACACAUACAGAGAGAAGACCAUGUGAAGUCACAGGGAGAAGACAGCCACCUACAUACCAAGGAGAGAGGCUGUACAAGAAACCAACCCUGAUGACACCUUGAUCUUGGACUUCCAGCUUCCAGAUUUACAGGAAAAUAAAUUUCCGUUGUUUAAGCCACACAGUCUAUGGCAUUUUGUUAUGGCAGUUCUAGCAAACUAAUAUACAGCCUAUAUCAUAUACUACUCAGUUUGACUACUUUUAUUUUGGAACAUAUUAUACUUUUGCUACUUUUGCUUAUGCAGUUUCUUUUGCUUAGUGUCCCUUGCUAGUAGAUAUUUAUAUUUAAAGAUAUUUUAGGCCUGGCACAGUGGCUCACACCUGUAAUUCCAACACUUUGGCAGGCUGAGGUGAGUAAAUCACUUGAGGCCAGGAGUUUGAGAUCAGCCUGGCUAACAUGGCGAAACCCCUUCUCUACUAAAAAAUACAAAAGUUAGCUGGGCGUGGUGGCGGGUGCCUGUAAUCCCAGCUACUUGGGAGGCUGAGGCAGGAGAAUGGCGUGAACCUGGGAGGCGGAGCUUGCAGUGAGCCGAGAUUGUGCCACUGCAAUCUGGCCUAGGCUAAAGAGCGGGACUCCGUCUCAAAAAAAAAAAAAAAAAAAAAAAAGUAAUUUCUCCCUCUUCUACAUUUCUUUUGUAAUUUUCCCUUACUUCUAAUAAAGCAACCAUCACAUUAUAUUUUUAUUUCUCCUGUAAAAUUGCACCAGUCCUCAAAGAAAAGAUCAGAGCAGUGACAAGAGUCAAGUCAGACAUGGUGGUUGCUUGGAAUGGUAUGAUGACAGUGUUGGUGAAAAUACAUGAAAAGAGGUAGAAUUGAUGACUGUGGUGGUUUAUAAAACGUAGGGAGACAAGUUAGAAGUCCAUAUGAAGGAUGCAGUCCUGGAAUGAGGAUGCUGUCAUCUGGGACCAUAAGACAUGAAGACAAGAGUGGCGUUAUGAACUGAAAGGAGCCAGGAGCUUUGUUGGAAUAGAACCACCCUAUUAACCCUGGACUUCCUGCCUGGGCUAAUUUGCAUUUGAGAGAGAAAUAAACUACUGUACAUAAGCCACUGCAAUUUGUUUUCCCACUUGCCGUCAAUAUAAUCCUAACGGAGAGAGCAGACAACAAGGUAUUAUUGAGUUAAGAUGAGAAACAGGGGACAUUAAGAGGAGGUAAAAUCCUUUACUUCCAAAUGUUGCUGUUCGCUGACGCUGGUGAAUAGCCAUGUGACAAUGAAACCCAACCAAAAAUUGAGGAGCCAAAAUAAUAGAAGAUGGGUGAAGAUGAGGAGGAAAAGCCUUCAUUGGAAGAGCAAGCUGACUCCCCCAUGACGUAAAGCAUAAAAUAGGUGUUCCUGAUUGAUGGAAAGCUGUCUUCCACAGGGUGAUUCAGGGCCCAGAUUUCUUUCAUCAUCAACACUUGGCUUCCCAAACAGUCAUUAUUCAUCUACACUGAGCUAACAGAAGAAGAAAGAACAUGAAGAAUGGUGCCAGGAGAAUUAAGUGACCAAAAUCAUCUGAAAGUCCUUAAGUCCAUGAAACUACACUCAGGAGAAGAUUAUCAUGUAAAGGAGAGGUGCAUUGUGUUUGGGGAACAAAUGCCCAUGGAAAUAGUGAGUGCAGAAAGUUACAGAGCUUUGCAUCUAGGCCCUCUAGUAGAGUUUGCAAAUGAGAUCGCCCUACAGAUGGAGAAUUUGGGAGCAUCAUGCUGCGACGCCACCUCUUGGCUAAUGCAUGUGGAUUGUCAGGCGACAGAGGGAACUCUGAUCAACCAACACUGACUUUUGGUACAGAAUCCCAGUGGAAAUCACCCAAGGGAAAGCAGACGACUAGUGUGCCUUAUGGGGAAGCAUUUUCUAUAUUUAGUGACCAAACUUUCAUUGCCUUUGGAGAAUGAAAUCCGUGCUUCUUUUUUAGAGUGGUUGUUUUGAGUGGUAGUCAACAUGGGGGAGAGAUGGUGUUACUUUCUAAAUGGAGUAAAAGAUGAGCAAGAUAAGCAACUUCCACCACAUAGCAGCAGGUAUGAAGACAACUGGUGCCUGUCUCCAGCAUUCAACUAAACAGUCUCUUGCCAAGAACCUCACCUUUGGCCUGUGUAGAGCCGUUUUCACUGGGUCAGAGCAGAGGUCAGUACAUCGACCCAAUCACCCCAUAGCAUCUUGGCCAACCAAGGGGUGCUAAUUAGAUCCAAUUGUGAUGAAGGUAGAGGGAAGUUUCCCUCACUGCACUGACCACCCCCCCGCCCCCGCCCGAGUGAUUUCCUUGUCUUAGAGGCCACGGGGGUGGGGUAGGGGGCUAUUCUUCACCUCAUCUGUCCAUGGCUAGCUGGGUAUGUAGCAGCUGAUUCCGUUCUUAGCCUCAAAUUCUCAAGGCCUCCAGAUCUAAGGGAUUGACACUGACUUCAUGCCUCCUCCAAAUAUAGGAAAGUUCCCAAUUUGUAAUUCAGAAUGUAGAUGUUUGGGGAUGGAAGAAGAAAACCAAAAUAUAAGUACCAGCUAUUGGUCCAAUGUCCGCUAUGCUUUGGAAGUCAUACUGAUAUUGGUAAGGUGUGGCAAAUGUCAGCACCACUGCCCACCACCCACCUGCCCUUUCUCUUAUGGAUACAAUGCAUUAAUUCAUAAGAGGCAUUUCAGACAAACGCCGGAAAGUAAUUUAUCAGGGUUCUUCCAGGGCUUCCAGCUAUAAUUGUUUUAAAUCCAACAAAUUUGCUAUAGGCAAAGGCCCCCAAACUACCCUAAGACAUAUUCCUAAAUUUCCAGAGCUUAAAAAUCAAUGUGCUUAAAAAAAUAAAAACAGAAAAUGCCAGCUGCCUUUGCAAACAAGGACACUGGGAAACAAAUAUAAUUGUGUUUUUUCCUUCUACAUCCGUCCGGGAACUUCGACUGCUACUAUGCUACAUCAGGUAUGCAAUGAAAGACAAACAACGAGGACUCCAAACAGAAGAGGGGAGCUUCAGUAACUGUAGUUUUUAUGUUAGGGAGAGACUGAGAGAGAAAGGAGCAUUGUAUCUCGGAUUAACAGAACUGCAGGAUUUCAUUAAUGACAGCCCAGCUUUUUAGCAAAAGGAAGAUAGUUAGGGCAGUAAAAGAGAACAUGAC